This 479-nucleotide ribosomal RNA is filed under the name uncultured bacterium. RNAcentral describes it as "bacterial SSU rRNA". It matches the Rfam family "Bacterial small subunit ribosomal RNA", at positions 78 to 538 of the family's 1533-position model. The record is from RNAcentral.
CUUUCGGGGGUAGUAGAGUGGCGUCCGGGUGAGUAACACGUGGGUAUCUGCCUUCGGGUGGGGAAUAACUCAGGAAACUUGAGCUAAUACCGUAUAAUGCAGCGGCACCUAAUGGUGAUUAGUUGUUAAAGCGGGGGAUCGCAAGACCUCGCGCCUGAAGAGGAGCCUGCGGCAGAUUAGCUAGUUGGUGAGGUAAUGGCUCACCCAGUUCGAUCUGUAGCUGGUCUGAAGGACGGCCAGCCACACUGGGACUGAGACACGGCCCAGACUCCUACGGGAGGCAGCAGUGGGGAAUAUUGCGCAAUGGGCGAAAGCCUGACGCAGCGACGCCGCGUGGGUGAUGAAGGCCUUCGGGUCGUAAAGCCCUGUCAAGAGGGACGAAACCUCGUCGACCUAAUACGUCGGCGACCUGACGGUACCUCUGAAGGAAGCCCCGGCUAACUCCGUGCCAGCAGCCGCGGUAAUACGGAGGGUGCAAG